CAGAUAAGGAGCUUGCUCCUUUGACGUUAGCGGCGGACGGGUGAGUAACACGUGGAUAACCUACCUAUAAGACUGGGAUAACUUCGGGAAACCGGAGCUAAUACCGGAUAACAUAUUGAACCGCAUGGUUCAAUAGUGAAAGGCGGCUUUGCUGUCACUUAUAGAUGGAUCCGCGCCGUAUUAGCUAGUUGGUAAGGUAACGGCUUACCAAGGCAACGAUACGUAGCCGACCUGAGAGGGUGAUCGGCCACACUGGAACUGAGACACGGUCCAGACUCCUACGGGAGGCAGCAGUAGGGAAUCUUCCGCAAUGGGCGAAAGCCUGACGGAGCAACGCCGCGUGAGUGAUGAAGGUCUUCGGAUCGUAAAACUCUGUUAUCAGGGAAGAACAAAUGUGUAAGUAACUGUGCACAUCUUGACGGUACCUGAUCAGAAAGCCACGGCUAACUACGUGCCACAGCCGCGGUAAUACGUAGGUGGCAAGCGUUAUCCGGAAUUAUUGGGCGUAAAGCGCGCGUAGGCGGUUUUUUAAGUCUGAUGUGAAAGCCCACGGCUCANCCGUGGAGGGUCAUUGGAAACUGGA
This 583-nucleotide ribosomal RNA is filed under the name Staphylococcus sp. RNAcentral describes it as "bacterial SSU rRNA". It matches the Rfam family "Bacterial small subunit ribosomal RNA", at positions 70 to 637 of the family's 1533-position model. Lineage: Bacteria; Bacillati; Bacillota; Bacilli; Caryophanales; Staphylococcaceae. The record is from RNAcentral.